Molecule: ribosomal RNA, 828 nt
Filed under: Triticum aestivum (bread wheat)
Lineage: Eukaryota; Viridiplantae; Streptophyta; Magnoliopsida; Poales; Poaceae
Description: partial small subunit ribosomal RNA
Source: RNAcentral
AUGGCAGUGCAGCAAUGCACGGUGGCGCUGUUCGUGGCCGUCGCCCUCGUGGCCGGGCCAUCCGUCUCGUACGCUGCCAAAGCCGGCCACGCCCCAGCCGGGGAACAACCCAAGGCCACAACCGAGGAGCAGAAGCUAAUUGAGAAGGCCAACAACGCCUUCAAGGCGGCCGUGGCGGCUGCAGCCGUGGUCCCCCCAGCGGACAAGCCCAAGUAUUUCGAGACCACCUUCGUCAACAACUUUGGCAACUGGACACUCGAAGGGUUAGCCAACGUGUCCAGCGCCAACGCUAGUAUCAGCACUAGGGUCGUCUUCGCUCAGGUGGCGGCCGCCAUGAACGCCCAGGGCGCUACCCCGGAGGCCAAGUAUGACUCCUUCGUGGCCAUCUUUGGCGAGUCGCUCCGCAUCAUCGCCGGCAUCCUAGAGGUCCACGCCGUCAAGCCCGCCCGCGAGGAAGUCAAGGGGGCGAUCCCUGCCGGCGAGCUCAAGGCCAUUGACCAGAUCGACACCGCCUUCAGGACUGCAGCCACCGCAGCCGACGCUGCCCCGGCCAAGGACAAGUCCACCAUCUUCGACUCCGCCUUCAGCAAGGCCAUUAAGGAGACCAUGGGCGAUGCAUACAAGGACUACAAGUUCGUCCCCGCCAUCGAGUCUGCCGUCAAGAAGAUGUAUGCCGUAUAUGUUCCUGAGAGUCCCGAGGACAAGAGCUUCAUCUUUGAGAGCGCCCUUACCGACACCAUCGGCGCCAUGGCCACCGCGGCCGCCGCCGCCACCCCCGCCACUCCCACUCCCACUCCCGCCUCCGCCACCGGUGGAGACAAAGUCUAG